GUGGCUCCAGGUUUGUUUUUCUCCGGUACAGCCUGGUAGGGAGGGCUCCCGGCAUCUCCCUGCUUCGGGGCAGAGGAUGCCGGGGGUAGAGUACGGGAGGGCUGGAGCGAGGGUGGACUGGAGGUGCCGCUUGUCCUGGAGGUGGGAGAGAGGGAGCGGCUUUGCCGCCUGGCCUGCGUCCUAAUCCUGUCCUGGUUCUUCUGCUCCCGAAGGGAACGUAGGUCCCGCGCCUGUGAUAAGUAAGGUUGGAUUUUCUCUUCCCUGAGGUGAAGGAUGCCCGGAGGCCUCGGCAGGACCGUGCGGAAACGGGCCUUCUGCCCAAAAGAUGCUGCUUCUCUCCUUAUUCUUUCCCCUCAGAAUCUCGCUGUCUCCUUCCAACCACCUGUGGUCGGCAUCCCCGCGUUGUCACUGCGACGCAGAGGCGAGCGAGGUGGCGGGAAGCACCCGCGGGGCGGGGAGGGACCCUGCGGGCGCGGACUCCACACCAAGCCUCUGCUCAGCGUCACCCCGCUUGCUGUGUCCUCGCAGGUCGCAGCUUCAUGGCCUGAUGCCUUCAGGAAGUAUUUUGAAGUCAUCGUGGCUGUGGAUUGGGGGAUUUCUUGUUUCCACUGACCUGUGAGGCCGCGCACGUGGAGGGAGGCACCCCGGGUCCUCCGGCACUGUCCGGCCUCGCCUGUGUCCCUAGUAGCAGUGGGCAUUUCCAGACGGUGCAGCUUGUGGCUAAAGUGACAGGAAGAUGUAGGAGCUUUCAGUCUUGGAUGAGGAUUCGAACUGAAGGGCUUAGGCCCAGCUGUCUUGGAGCAAAACAUCUGUUGUGGGAUGUGGCGGCAGAGGAGGGCAAGGCCGAAGGAGCAGACAGCACCGCUUCUUGGGGAGUUGUGAAGGCAUCAUGCGGAGGGCCGAGCUUAGCAGCCAAGUGGAGGACAGCACCCUCCAUGCCUGGAUUCGUUACUCGCUCGUUCUCGAUGUUGAGCUGCUGGCAUAUUGCAGCACAACUAGAGAUGUACGGAUGCCCCCAUCUUGAUCUUACAGAAUCAGAGGUGCAGCCGCAAGAAAGCUACACCCUCUCGGUUUUCUCUGCUCUGCCAACACUAGUGGAAUAUGAUCACAUCCCAGGGAUCAGUGUCAUUUAGGGAUGUGACUAUGGGCUUCACUCAAGAGGAGUGGCAUCAUCUGGACCCUGCUCAGAGGACCCUGUAGAGGAAUGUGAUGCUGGAGAACUACAGCCACCUUGUCUCAGUAGGGUAUUGCAUUCCUAAACCAGAAGUGAUCCUCAAAUUGGAGACAGGCAAGGAGCCAUGGAUAUUAGAGGAAAAAUUUCGAAGCCAGAGUCAUCUGGAAUUAAUUAAUACCAGUAGAAACUAUUCAAGAAUGAAGUUCAAUGAGUUUAACAAAGGUGGAAAAUGUUUCUGUGAUGAAAGCAUGAAAUAAUUCAUUUUGAAGAGGAACCUUCUGAAUAUAAUAACAAUGGGAACAGCUUCUGGCUGAAUGAAGACCUCAUUUGGCAUCAGAAGAUUAAAAAUUGGGAGCAACCUUUUGAAUACAAUGAAUGUGGGAAAGCUUUCCCUGAGAAUUCACUCUUCCUUGUACAUAAGAGAGCUUACACAGGACAGAAAACAUGCAAAUAUACUGAACAUGGGAAAACC
This is a long non-coding RNA of Homo sapiens (human), 1646 nucleotides long. Ensembl annotates it as zinc finger protein 37B, pseudogene. Its record names the gene ZNF37BP. The record is from Ensembl. NCBI's taxonomy places the organism in Eukaryota, Metazoa, Chordata, Mammalia, Primates, Hominidae.